CGGAGAGGGAGCCUGAGAAACGGCUACCACAUCUAAGGAUGGCAGCAGGCGCGCAAAUUGCCCAAUAGCAACACUGCUGAGGCGCAGCGAAGAGAAAUAGCAACUUCAUGCGGCCCUGCCGUGUGAAGAUUGCAAUGGAUGAUAUUUAAACCUAUCAGUGAGUAUCGAUUGGUGGACAAGUCUGGUGCCAGCACCCGCGGUAAUUCCAGCACCAAUAGCGUAUAUUAAUGCUGCUGCUGUUAAAAAGCUCGUAGUUGGAUCAAGAGCUGGACUGUGCACGGUGGCCCCGUUAGUCAUGGUGGGUCCUGCUCAUCCUGACGGCGGCGGAACAACCCCGCGCAUUACGCAGUCCACUCUAGCAGGCCGAAACGGUUCCCUGUGAGUAGGCCCCUUCAUUGGGGUCGAAAGCGCCAACGCAUCAACCAUAUGCAUACGGGACGUCGGCCAAAGUUACUGUGAACAAACCAGCGUGUCCAAAGCAGGCCUUCGCCUGAAUGUUCGAGCAUGGAAUAACAAGGGAUCGAUUCUCUCGGUUCUUUUUGUUGGUUUUUAACCCGAGAAGGAGUAAUUCAGUCCACGGUGUCUGAGUUGGGUUACCCUAGGUCUAGGCUUAGGCCCCAAUUAGGCCGUGUGCUUACGGGAUCAAUAGGGACUGACGGGGUCGUACGUACUUCCGCGUCAGAGGUGAAAUUCUUAGAUCGCGGGAAGACGAACUUCUGCGAAAGCAUUCGACAAGAAUGUCUUCAUUAAUCAAGAACGAGAGUGUGGGGAUCGAAGAUGAUCAGAUACCGUCGUAGUCCACUACUGUAAACAAUGCCGUCUCAGGAUUGAGAAGUGAACUGAAUGACUUUCACAGCACUAACCCCUGAAACGAGAAAUCAAAGAUUAUGGGUUCAGGGGGGAGUACAUUCGCAAGGCUGAAACUUAAAGGAAUUGACGGAAUGACACCACAAGGCGUGGAGUAUGCGGCUUAAUUUGACUCAACACGGGGAAUUUUACUAGGUCAGGACAAUGUAAGGAUUGACAGAUUGAGAGCUCUUUCUCGAUCCAUUGUGUGGUGGUGCAUGGCCGCUCCUGGUUGGUGGAGUGAUUUGUCUGGUUGAUUCCGUUAACGAACGAGAUCUCGACCCUUAAAUAGGUGAGCCCGUUGUCCUUUUGGCAAGAGAGUGCUUCCUGCCCUUCUUGGAUGGGACGAGACAGGGCAGCUACUUCUUAAGGGGACUGCGUGCGCUUCUAGUACGCGGAAGAGCGAGCCAAUAGCAGGUCUGUGAUGCUCCUAAAUGUCCUAGGCUGCACGCGCACUACACUGACGCAUUAAACGAGUCUGUUUGCCUUACGGCAACCUAUCUUGAAGAGGAUGGGAAACCUUUUGAACUUGCGUCGUGAUGAGGAUCGAUGAUUGCAAUUAUUCUCCUUGAAUGAGGAAUGCCUAGUAGGCGCAAGUCAUCAGCUUGCACUGAUUACGUCCCUGCCAUUUGUACACACCGCCCGUCGUUGCUACCGAUUGGCUGUAGGGUAGAGAUCGGCGGAUCUCGAGCAGUUGGGGCGACUCUUCUGUUUGGGAGAAACCGAUCAAUAUUCUGCAGCUAGAAGAAGCAAAAGUCGUAACAAGG
This 1613-nucleotide ribosomal RNA is filed under the name uncultured eukaryote. RNAcentral describes it as "partial small subunit ribosomal RNA". It matches the Rfam family "Eukaryotic small subunit ribosomal RNA", at positions 384 to 1799 of the family's 1831-position model. The record is from RNAcentral.